AAUCAACGCUGGCGGCGUGCCUAACACAUGCAAGUCGAACGCGAAAGCCCCGCAAGGGUGGAGUAGAGUGGCAAACGGGUAGAGUAACGCGUGGGUGACCUGCCUUCGAGUGGGGGAGUAACGUUCCGAAGGGACGGCUAAUACCGCAUGACAUCCUGCCUUUUAAGUAGGUGGAGAUCAAAGACUGGGGAGUCGCAAGACCUAGCGCUUGACGAGGGGCCC
RNAcentral lists this ribosomal RNA (222 nucleotides) under uncultured bacterium. Its description in RNAcentral is "partial 16S ribosomal RNA". It matches the Rfam family "Bacterial small subunit ribosomal RNA", at positions 32 to 232 of the family's 1533-position model. The record is from RNAcentral.